AUGGAUCCGAGCGGGCAACCGCCCCAGCGCGCCUCCCGGCGGCGCAUCCGGGCCAACAACUACUCACAUCCUUCCCCACGACUGGUUGCCUCCACUACCCUCCCUUGCAGCUUAGGGUCCGGCGAGUCCCAGCCGCCACGCUCCCUCUGUCCUCUCCUCCGCGUCAAGAUCGACAGUGAGGUCACCGGUGCCUGCUCUCUGCUGACCUCCCCUUCCUCAUCUUCCUGCGAGGUUCCCAACCGCCCUGCCACGGAUGCGUGUGUUGUUGUUUAUGAUGUAGGUGUUCAGCAUGUAGAAGCUGGACGACGUGAUGCUGCUGUUGCCGAUCUGCUGCAGCGCCUCUUGUUUGACCCUGAGAUCACUGGCGAUGAACACAAUCAGAUGAGGACGUGCGUGCGUGUGGCGUGUGUGCUGCUCCUCGCCAUCGUUGUCGUGCGUGUGAAUCGUGCCAACUAUGUGCCAGUUGAGUCCGGCUGCCAUGUCCAGCGCGACCUGGACGUGCUUGCUCCAUCCGAGCACCUCAUCGCUGUGGAGCCACUUGCUAAGCGCGCUGUUUUUGGUGAACUCGAACAUCACAAGUUGGGUCUCGAUGACCUAUAA
This 600-nucleotide ribosomal RNA is filed under the name Triticum aestivum (bread wheat). RNAcentral's name for it is "partial small subunit ribosomal RNA". The record is from RNAcentral. Lineage: Eukaryota; Viridiplantae; Streptophyta; Magnoliopsida; Poales; Poaceae.